This 21-nucleotide non-coding RNA is filed under the name Caenorhabditis elegans. Lineage: Eukaryota; Metazoa; Nematoda; Chromadorea; Rhabditida; Rhabditidae. The record is from RNAcentral.
UAGGAUUUUCUACUUGCCAAA